Molecule: ribosomal RNA, 590 nt
Filed under: uncultured beta proteobacterium
Lineage: Bacteria; Pseudomonadati; Pseudomonadota; Betaproteobacteria
Description: bacterial SSU rRNA
Rfam family: Bacterial small subunit ribosomal RNA
Source: RNAcentral
ACUCCUACGGGAGGCAGCAGUGGGGAAUUUUGGACAAUGGGGGCAACCCUGAUCCAGCCAUGCCGCGUGAGUGAAGAAGGCCUUCGGGUUGUAAAGCUCUUUCAGGUGGAAAGAAAUCUUCCGGGUGAAUACCCCGGGAGGAUGACGGUACCAUCAGAAGAAGCACCGGCUAACUACGUGCCAGCAGCCGCGGUAAUACGUAGGGUGCGAGCGUUAAUCGGAAUUACUGGGCGUAAAGCGUGCGCAGGCGGUUAUGUAAGACAGAUGUGAAAUCCCCGGGCUCAACCUGGGAACUGCGUUUGUGACUGCAUAACUAGAGUACGGCAGAGGGAGGUGGAAUUCCGCGUGUAGCAGUGAAAUGCGUAGAGAUGCGGAGGAACACCGAUGGCGAAGGCAGCCUCCUGGGCCAGUACUGACGCUCAUGCACGAAAGCGUGGGGAGCAAACAGGAUUAGAUACCCUGGUAGUCCACGCCCUAAACGAUGUCAACUAGUUGUUCGGUGAGGAGACUCAUUGAGUAACGCAGCUAACGCGUGAAGUUGACCGCCUGGGGAGUACGGCCGCAAGGUUAAAACUCAAAGGAAUUGACGG